CAAAAUUAGCACGUGAACAAAUGUCUAAUCUUAUCAGCCGGGAAGGAGUAUGAAGGUGUAACAAAAUUUUCUAUGACAGUUGGAAAGAUAUGUGCACAGACCGGAAGGCUGAAAUGGUUUUAAAAGGUUGUGUGUCAUUUGAAAGUCUACUUAUUCUAAAUUUAUUUGCAAACUAUGGAUGUGUUUUUUUAAAAGAUGCAAACUCAACUUUUUCUGAAAACAGUUCAUGUAAUUCAACACAAAAUGGUAAUAAUAAGGAAAAUUCAAGUAUUUACUUAAAUUAUAAUGAAAGUUAUUCAAAAAUUUGACAGGGAAUUUAAGAUAAGAAAUCUAACUGAACCUAGUGUGCGUUUUUUGCAUGAAAACAAAAAAGGCAAUCAUUUCC
Long non-coding RNA from Agrilus planipennis (emerald ash borer), 385 nucleotides. RefSeq lists it as uncharacterized. NCBI's taxonomy places the organism in Eukaryota, Metazoa, Arthropoda, Insecta, Coleoptera, Buprestidae. The record is from RefSeq and is a predicted model, not a curated record. The transcript has 3 exons.